UGGGGAAUUUUGCGCAAUGGGCGAAAGCCUGACGCAGCAACGCCGCGUGAGGGAUGAAGGCUUUUGGGUCGUAAACCUCUGUCAGAAGGGAAGAAAUACUCGCAAGAGAGCUGACGGUACCUUCAAAGGAAGCACCGGCUAACUCCGUGCCAGCAGCCGCGGUAAUACGGAGGGUGCAAGCGUUGUUCGGAAUUAUUGGGCGUAAAGCGCAUGUAGGCGGACUUUUAAGUCUGAUGUGAAAUCCCGGGGCUCAACCCCGGAACUGCAUUGGAUACUGGAAGUCUUGAGUACGGGAGAGGAAAGCGGAAUUCCGAGUGUAGGGGUGAAAUCCGUAGAUAUUCGGAAGAACACCAGUGGCGAAGGCGGCUUUCUGGACCGAUACUGACGCUGAGAUGCGAAAGCGUGGGGAGCGAACAGGAUUAGAUACCCCCGUAGUCC
RNAcentral lists this ribosomal RNA (438 nucleotides) under uncultured prokaryote. RNAcentral's name for it is "bacterial SSU rRNA". It matches the Rfam family "Bacterial small subunit ribosomal RNA", at positions 355 to 796 of the family's 1533-position model. The record is from RNAcentral.